AUGGUUUAGGGUUUUCCUUCAAGAUCUUUAGGGUUUGAACAUUUUUGACAUGAUUGUGGAAUUUGAAUCCGAUCGAGUGAAAGCCUUGAGACUAGGUGUGUCAGCAAGGGAGUAGCGUGAAGUGGUGGACCAUGUUAACAAAUCUUGGGUUCAACAAGUGUACGCUUGGGAUUAAUUCAGCCGGGUGAAAUCCUUGAGACAUGGAGGUCGCGCAAGGAAGUAGUAACAACAGGUGAAUUGAAGUGACAUUGUUGGCGACUUGAUCAAUAUUUGAUCAAGGUUUUUGGAGGUGCUAGAGUCAAGAACAAACCUAGGGUUUGUGGGAUUUGAUUUCUCAUCGCUUAUAUUCAUACAUUUGUAAAGUAAGAUUUAUUAUAUUAAUAUCUCAAUUCGAAUUCUAAUUGAGGACAUAUGUACCCAU
Molecule: long non-coding RNA, 421 nt
Filed under: Lathyrus oleraceus (garden pea)
Lineage: Eukaryota; Viridiplantae; Streptophyta; Magnoliopsida; Fabales; Fabaceae
Description: Pisum sativum (pea) long non-coding RNA (PSAT_LNC028325)
Source: RNAcentral